RNAcentral lists this ribosomal RNA (355 nucleotides) under uncultured bacterium. RNAcentral describes it as "bacterial SSU rRNA". It matches the Rfam family "Bacterial small subunit ribosomal RNA", at positions 157 to 507 of the family's 1533-position model. The record is from RNAcentral.
GUUACGCUAAUACCGCAUAUUCUGUGAGCAGGAAAGCAGGGGAUCGCAAGACCUUGCGCUGAUUGAGCGGCCGAUAUCAGAUUAGCUAGUUGGUGAGGUAAAGGCUCACCAAGGCGACGAUCUGUAGCGGGUCUGAGAGGAUGAUCCGCCACACUGGAACUGAGACACGGUCCAGACUCCUACGGGAGGCAGCAGUGGGGAAUUUUGGACAAUGGGCGCAAGCCUGAUCCAGCCAUGCCGCGUGAGUGAAGAAGGCCUUCGGGUUGUAAAGCUCUUUCGGCCGGGAAGAAAUCGUAUCAGCUAAUACCUGGUGCGGAUGACGGUACCGGCAUAAGAAGCACCGGCUAACUACGUG